UGGGGAAUAUUGCACAAUGGAGGGAACUCUGAUGCAGCGACGCCGCGUGAACGAAGAAGGCUCUCGAGUCGUAAAGUUCUUUCAUAUGGGAAGAUAAUGACGGUACCAUAAGAAAAAGCCCCGGCUAACUACGUGCCAGCAGCCGCGGUAAUACGUAGGGGGCUAGCGUUGUCCGGAAUCACUGGGCGUAAAGGGUUCGCAGGCGGAAAUGCAAGUCAGGUGUAAAAGGCAGUAGCUUAACUACUGUAAGCAUUUGAAACUGCAUAUCUUGAGAAGAGUAGAGGUAAGUGGAAUUUUUAGUGUAGCGGUGAAAUGCGUAGAUAUUAAAAAGAAUACCGGUGGCGAAGGCGACUUACUGGGCUCAUUCUGACGCUGAGGAACGAAAGCGUGGGUAGCAAACAGG
RNAcentral lists this ribosomal RNA (403 nucleotides) under bacterium. Its description in RNAcentral is "partial 16S ribosomal RNA". It matches the Rfam family "Bacterial small subunit ribosomal RNA", at positions 355 to 776 of the family's 1533-position model. The record is from RNAcentral.